CGCGUAGGCGGGCCGGACAGUCUGUGGUGAAAGCCCCCAGCUUAACUGGGGAAGUGCCAUGGAUACUGCCGGUCUUGAGGAGGGUAGGGGCAUCUGGAACGCUGGGUGGAGCGGUGAAAUGCGUUGAUAUCCAGCGGAACUCCGGUGGCGAAGGCGAGGUGCUGGACCCUUUCUGACGCUGAGUGCGCGAAAGCCAGGGAGCAAACG
RNAcentral lists this ribosomal RNA (207 nucleotides) under uncultured bacterium. Its description in RNAcentral is "partial 16S ribosomal RNA". It matches the Rfam family "Bacterial small subunit ribosomal RNA", at positions 568 to 774 of the family's 1533-position model. The record is from RNAcentral.